RNAcentral lists this transfer RNA (72 nucleotides) under Ovis aries (sheep). It matches the Rfam family "tRNA". From Rfam's summary of the family: Transfer RNA (tRNA) molecules are approximately 80 nucleotides in length. Their secondary structure includes four short double-helical elements and three loops (D, anti-codon, and T loops). Further hydrogen bonds mediate the characteristic L-shaped molecular structure. tRNAs have two regions of fundamental functional importance: the anti-codon, which is responsible for specific mRNA codon recognition, and the 3' end, to which the tRNAs corresponding amino acid is attached (by aminoacyl-tRNA synthetases). tRNAs cope with the degeneracy of the genetic code in two manners: having more than one tRNA (with a specific anti-codon) for a particular amino acid; and 'wobble' base-pairing, i.e. permitting non-standard base-pairing at the 3rd anti-codon position. The record is from Rfam by way of RNAcentral. Lineage: Eukaryota; Metazoa; Chordata; Mammalia; Artiodactyla; Bovidae.
UCCCUGGUGGUCUAGUGGUUAAGAAUCCACCUUCCAAUCCAAAGGACUCAGGUUUGAUCCCUGACCAGGGAA